This 270-nucleotide ribosomal RNA is filed under the name uncultured bacterium. Its description in RNAcentral is "partial 16S ribosomal RNA". It matches the Rfam family "Bacterial small subunit ribosomal RNA", at positions 524 to 789 of the family's 1533-position model. The record is from RNAcentral.
UACGUAGGGUGCAAGCGUUAAUCGGAAUUACUGGGCGUAAAGCGUGCGCAGGCGGUGAUGUAAGACAGGUGUGAAAUCCCCGGGCUUACCACUGGGAACUGCAUUGUGAUCUGCAUCGCUGGAGUGCGGCAGAGGGGGAUGGAAUUCCGCGUGUAAGCAGUGAAAUGCGUAGAGAUGUGGAGGAACACCGAUGGCGAAGGCAGCCCUCGGUCGCGACACUGACGCUCAUGCACGAAAGGCGUGGGGAGCAAACAGGAUUAGACUACCGUG